AUCGCUUCUCGGCCUUUUGGCUAAGAUCAAGUGUAGUAUCUGUUCUUAUCAGCUUAAUAUCUGAUAUGGACCUAAUUGGUCCAAGAUAUUAAACUUAUUUUUGUGAACGGUGUUCCUCCGAAGCUUGCUUCGAGGUCGCCAGGGUUGGCCCGGUAUUGCACUACCUCCGGGAACGGCCCGUCCCCC
This is a non-coding RNA of Ixodes scapularis (black-legged tick), 186 nucleotides long. NCBI's taxonomy places the organism in Eukaryota, Metazoa, Arthropoda, Arachnida, Ixodida, Ixodidae. The record is from Rfam.